This 253-nucleotide ribosomal RNA is filed under the name uncultured bacterium. RNAcentral describes it as "partial 16S ribosomal RNA". It matches the Rfam family "Bacterial small subunit ribosomal RNA", at positions 524 to 776 of the family's 1533-position model. The record is from RNAcentral.
GACAGAGGGUGCAAACGUUGUUCGGAAUCACUGGGCGUAAAGCGUGUGUAGGCGGUUAGGUAAGUCGGAUGUGAAAGCCCUAGGCUCAACCUGGGAAGUGCACCCGAUACUGCCUAGCUAGAGUAUCGGAGAGGUUGGUGGAAUUCUCGGUGUAGAGGUGAAAUUCGUAGAUAUCGAGAAGAACAUCGGCGGCGAAGGCGACCAACUGGACGAAUACUGACGCUGAGACACGAAAGCGUGGGGAGCAAACAGG